GACGAACGCUGGCGGCGUGCUUAACACAUGCAAGUCGAACGGAAAGGCCCUGCUUUUGUGGGGUGCUCGAGUGGCGAACGGGUGAGUAACACGUGAGUAACCUGCCCUUGACUUUGGGAUAACUUCAGGAAACUGGGGCUAAUACCGGAUAGGAGCUCCUGCUGCAUGGUGGGGGUUGGAAAGUUUCGGCGGUUGGGGAUGGACUCGCGGCUUAUCAGCUUGUGGGUGGGGUAGUGGCUUACCAAGGCUUUGACGGGUAGCCGGCCUGAGAGAGUGACCGGCCACAUUGGGACUGAGAUACGGCCCAGACUCCUACGGGAGGCAGCAGUGGGGAAUAUUGCACAAUGGGCGGAAGCCUGAUGCAGCAACGCCGCGUGCGGGAUGACGGCCUUCGGGUUGUAAACCGCUUUCGCCUGUGACGAAGCGUGAGUGACGGUAAUGGGUAAAGAAGCACCGGCUAACUACGUG
Molecule: ribosomal RNA, 468 nt
Filed under: uncultured bacterium
Lineage: Bacteria
Description: partial 16S ribosomal RNA
Rfam family: Bacterial small subunit ribosomal RNA
Source: RNAcentral